Molecule: long non-coding RNA, 135 nt
Organism: Fukomys damarensis (Damara mole-rat)
Lineage: Eukaryota; Metazoa; Chordata; Mammalia; Rodentia; Bathyergidae
Exons: 3
Source: RefSeq, a predicted model, not a curated record
AAACCUCAGAGUUCAUCAGUCACCAGGGAAGAAGCUUAAAUCCCAGUUUUCUUCAGGAUGUGACCUUUCUAUAGACACAGUCCAACACCAAAAUUUAGUGUUAAUGAGCUGCUAGACAACAUUUUCUCAAAUGAG